CUACGGAAGGCAGCAGUGAGGAAUUUUGGACAAUGGGCGCAAGCCUGAUCCAGCCAUGCCGCGUGCGGGAAGAAGGCCUUCGGGUUGUAAACCGCUUUUGUCAGGGAAGAAAUCCCUUGAGCUAAUACCUCGGGGGGAUGACGGUACCUGAAGAAUAAGCACCGGCUAACUACGUGCCAGCAGCCGCGGUAAUACGUAGGGUGCAAGCGUUAAUCGGAAUUACUGGGCGUAAAGCGUGCGCAGGCGGUUGUGCAAGACAGAUGUGAAAUCCCCGGGCUCAACCUGGGAACUGCAUUUGUGACUGCACGGCUUGAGUGCGGCAGAGGGGGAUGGAAUUCCGCGUGUAGCAGUGAAAUGCGUAGAUAUGCGGAGGAACACCGAUGGCGAAGGCAAUCCCCUGGGCCUGCACUGACGCUCAUGCACGAAAGCGUGGGGAGCAAACAGGAUUAGAUACCCGGGUA
This 461-nucleotide ribosomal RNA is filed under the name uncultured bacterium. Its description in RNAcentral is "bacterial SSU rRNA". It matches the Rfam family "Bacterial small subunit ribosomal RNA", at positions 339 to 792 of the family's 1533-position model. The record is from RNAcentral.